GAUGAACGCUAGCUACAGGCUUAACACAUGCAAGUCGCGGGGUAACAUCUGGGAGAGCUUGCUUUUCCAGGACGUCGACCGGCGAAUGGGUGAGUAACGCGUAUCCAACCUUCCGUUAAGUAGGGAAUAGCCUUGCGAAAGUAAGAUUAAUGCCCUAUGUGGUGUUUUGAGGACAUCUGAAGAGCACCAAAGGUUUACCGCUUAACGAUGGGGAUGCGUCUGAUUAGGUUGUUGGCGGGGCAACGGCCCACCAAGCCUACGAUCAGUAGGGGUUCUGAGAGGAAGGUCCCCCACAUUGGAACUGAGACACGGUCCAAACUCCUACGGGAGGCAGCAGUGAGGAAUAUUGGUCAAUGGGCGUGAGCCUGAACCAGCCAAGUAGCGUGCGGGAUGAAGGCCCUAUGGGUUGUAAACCGCUUUUUCAGGGGGAUAAAGUGAGUGACGUGUCAUUCAUUGCAGGUACCCUGCGAAUAAGGACCGGCUAAUUCCGUG
This 492-nucleotide ribosomal RNA is filed under the name uncultured bacterium. RNAcentral's name for it is "bacterial SSU rRNA". It matches the Rfam family "Bacterial small subunit ribosomal RNA", at positions 28 to 507 of the family's 1533-position model. The record is from RNAcentral.